Molecule: ribosomal RNA, 253 nt
Filed under: uncultured bacterium
Lineage: Bacteria
Description: partial 16S ribosomal RNA
Rfam family: Bacterial small subunit ribosomal RNA
Source: RNAcentral
UACGUAGGGGGCAAGCGUUGUCCGGAAUCAUUGGGCGUAAAGAGCGUGUAGGCGGUCCGGUAAGUCGGCUGUGAAAGUCCAGGGCUCAACCCUCGAAUGCCGGUGGAUACUGUCGGGCUAGAGUGCGGAAGAGGCGAGUGGAAUUCCUGGUGUAGCGGUGAAAUGCGCAGAUAUCAGGAGGAACACCUAUUGCGAAGGCAGCUCGCUGGGACGUUACUGACGCUGAGACGCGAAAGCGUGGGGAGCAAACAGG